RNAcentral lists this unclassified non-coding RNA (240 nucleotides) under soil metagenome. RNAcentral describes it as "partial contains 5.8S ribosomal RNA, internal transcribed spacer 2, and large subunit ribosomal RNA". The record is from RNAcentral.
AACGCACGAGACCUGCGGACCUGCGGAAGGAUCAUUACCGAGUUCUCGCCCCUCGCGGGGUAGACCUCCCACCCACUGUGAUCACUACCGUCGUUGCUUUGGCGGGCCGCUGGGCCCAGCCCACCGCCGGCCCCGGCUGGCGCGUGCCCGCCAGAGGCCCUACAAACGCUGGAUAUCAGUGCCGUCUGAGUACACAUGUUAAUCGUUAAAACUUUUAGCAAUGGAUCUCUAGAUCGGAAG